This 253-nucleotide ribosomal RNA is filed under the name uncultured bacterium. Its description in RNAcentral is "partial 16S ribosomal RNA". It matches the Rfam family "Bacterial small subunit ribosomal RNA", at positions 524 to 776 of the family's 1533-position model. The record is from RNAcentral.
UACAGAGGUCUCAAGCGUUGUUCGGAUUCACUGGGCGUAAAGGGCUCGUAGGUGGCCAACUAAGUCGGACGUGAAAUCCCUCGGCUUAACCGGGGAACUGCGUCUGAUACUGGAUGGCUAGAGGUUGGGAGAGGGAUGCGGAAUUCCAGGUGUAGCGGUGAAAUGCGUAGAUAUCUGGAGGAACACCGGUGGCGAAGGCGGCAUCCUGGACCAAUUCUGACGCUGAGGAGCGAAAGCCAGGGGAGCAAACGGG